RNAcentral lists this ribosomal RNA (459 nucleotides) under uncultured bacterium. Its description in RNAcentral is "partial 16S ribosomal RNA". It matches the Rfam family "Bacterial small subunit ribosomal RNA", at positions 338 to 795 of the family's 1533-position model. The record is from RNAcentral.
CCUACGGGUGGCAGCAGUGAGGAAUAUUGGUCAAUGGCCGAGAGGCUGAACCAGCCAAGUAGCGUGCGGGAUGACGGCCCUACGGGUUGUAAACCUCUUUUGUCGGGGAGCAAAGCGCGUCACGUGUGACUCAUUGAGAGUACCCGAAGAAAAAGCAUCGGCUAACUCCGUGCCAGCAGCCGCGGUAAUACGGAGGAUGCGAGCGUUAUCCGGAUUUAGUGGGUUUAAAGGGUGCGCAGGCGGAGGUGCAAGUCAGCGGUCAAAUUGCGGGGCUCAACCCCGUACUGCCGUUGAAACUGCAGCCCUUGAGUGCGCGAGAGGUAUGCGGAAUGCGUGGUGUAGCGGUGAAAUGCAUAGAUAUCACGCAGAACUCCGAUGGCGAAGGCAGCAUACCGGCGCGCAACUGACGCUCAUGCACGAAAGCGUGGGUAUCGAACAGGAUUAGAUACCCUAGUAGUC